This 700-nucleotide ribosomal RNA is filed under the name uncultured bacterium. RNAcentral's name for it is "bacterial SSU rRNA". It matches the Rfam family "Bacterial small subunit ribosomal RNA", at positions 99 to 780 of the family's 1533-position model. The record is from RNAcentral.
CGAACGGGUGCGUAACACGUGGACAACAUUCCGGGAAGCGGGGGAUAGCCCAGGGAAACUUGGUUUAAUACCGCAUGUGAUUGAGCGUGGCAUCACGCAACGAUCAAAGGUGGGGACCGCAAGGCCUGCCACUUCCCGAUUGGUCCGCGGCCUAUCAGCUUGUUGGUGAGGUAACGGCUCACCAAGGCGACGACGGGUAGCUGGUCUGAGAGGACGACCAGCCACACUGGAACUGAGACACGGUCCUGACACCUACGGGUGGCAGCAGUCGAGAAUCAUUCACAAUGGGGGAAACCCUGAUGGUGCGACGCCGCGUGGAGGAUAAGGUCUUCGGAUUGUAAACUCCUGUCAUGUGAGAGCAAGGCUUUAGCGUUAAUAGCGUUGGAGUUUGAUAGUAUCACAAGAGGAAGAGACGGCUAACUCUGUGCCAGCAGCCGCGGUAAUACAGAGGUCUCAAGCGUUGUUCGGAAUCACUGGGCGUAAAGGGUGCGUAGGCGGCUUGGUAAGUCAGAUGUGAAAGCUCAGGGCUCAACCCUGAAAUUGCAUCCGAUACUGCCGGGCUAGAGGACUGGAGAGGUGUCUAGAAUUCUCGGUGUAGCAGUGAAAUGCGUAGAUAUCGAGAGGAAUACUAAUGGCGAAGGCAGGACACUGGACAGUAUCUGACGCUGAGGCACGAAGGCUAGGGUAGCGAACGGGAUUA